Molecule: ribosomal RNA, 252 nt
Filed under: uncultured bacterium
Lineage: Bacteria
Description: partial 16S ribosomal RNA
Rfam family: Bacterial small subunit ribosomal RNA
Source: RNAcentral
UACGAAGGGGGCUAGCGUUGUUCGGAAUUACUGGGCGUAAAGCGCACGUAGGCGGAUAUUUAAGUCAGGGGUGAAAUCCCAGAGCUCAACUCUGGAACUGCCUUUGAUACUGGGUAUCUUGAGUAUGGAAGAGGUUAGUGGAAUUGCGAGUGUAGAGGUGAAAUGCGUAGAUAUCAAGAGGAACACCUGAGGUGAAGACGGGUUGCUGGGCUGACACUGACGUGAGGCGCGAAAGCCAGGGGAGCAAACGGG